GUGCUCGCUUUGGCAGCACAUAUACUAAAAUUGGAACAACACAGAGAAGAUUAGCAUGGCCCUGCGCAAGAAUGACAUGCAAAUUCGUGAAGUGUUCCAUAUUUUU
This 106-nucleotide small nuclear RNA is filed under the name Myotis davidii. The record is from RNAcentral. Lineage: Eukaryota; Metazoa; Chordata; Mammalia; Chiroptera; Vespertilionidae.